ACAAUUUAUAAACUGGUAUCUAUCACCUUGUUGCUUUGUCUUUAAGUGGUCAUGUGAUUGCCAGUCCAUUUACCAUUUACUGCAUAGCAUGGCAAAAUAUUCCAUGUUUUUGCACAAUAGCUGUUUGUUACUGUAAAAAAACAUUUUAUGCCUAUCAAACUGUGUUAUCAAUUGUCUGUGUCAGAGAUUCAAUUAAAGAAAAAAUGGGUGAGAAAGUAAAAGAAAGAUUUAAUUUAAGAUCCUGUCAGAUAGAAGGACUGGGCUGAAAAUAAAUGAAAUGAACCCAAAAGCCUGCAGAAAUAUUUCCCAUGACUAACCUUCUACAAAUUAGAAGUAAAUCUGGAUCCUUGGAAGUAAAAUACAAAGAAUUCAAUACAAUACUGCACAGCCAAUCUUUCAACCACAACCAUAUUUUUGAACUCGGAAGAAAUGGAGUAUUCAGAGAGAAAUGAAAGAAAGCAAAAGGAAACUGUUUCUCUAUGUUGAAUUGUGUAUUUUCUGUGGGAAAUUCUACAGUGAUGCAGUAAAAGUAGUAAAACCCCAUCUUCAGUUGUCUGGAACACAGUAUCACAGCUUUGCAUUUACUGUAGGACAAUAAUCAUAACUACUAAUGAAACUAAGUACGAGCUUUUGUUGGUCGUUUAACUUUUUCUUUCCUUUUUGCUGAUGGUCUCAGUUUUGUGCAUUUUUGAUUUAUGGCCACUAGAUGGCUGUAAGUCAUCAUAAAUCCUCCUGAGACCCAGAAGAAUAAAAUUUUGUGAUAUUUAGAUUUGACAUUCACAUGCUACAGCAAAUGUUGGAACUGGAAGGAGAGUCUUACUUAGUCAGUUUCAUACUUAGUGCUGUCAGGAGAUGCAGGUGGAGUGGGGUCUGAUCUUACAGCAAGAAGGUGAAAGUUCAGAGAAGGAUAUGUAAACAGUGGACGGCAAAAUAAUGACACAAAGUCUAUUACUUGUAAGCUAGGGCUAUGAAGUUGUGGGCUCAGCAGAUUUAAGCUGUCUUGCUGUAUUCAGUUAAGAGAGCUCUUCAAGAUGUCUCUUAUCAGUAACACCAAGAUCAUUUGUUGUUUUGAUGGACUGCCUAAUCUUAAAGAAUCUGUCUUAUUAGUUUCUAUUAGCUGAAAACAGGAAACAGUAAAUUCAAAUCCUGUGUUAUCUGAGUCAUGCCGUGAACACAGAUAUGCUGAAGAAUGUUUUUGCCUUUCAUGUAUUGUUUAAACUGAAUUCAACUGAUAAAGACAAGACACAUAGACUUUAAUGCUUUUUUCCUCACAAAUGUAAUUCAUUACAGAAGUGAAACUUUAAGUGUGUGUGUGUUUUCUAGAAAUUAGAAUGCCUUAAAAUUUAAAAUCCAAUGUGGCAGUUGAGAAACCACACCAGACAACUUCAAAGCCCUCGCACAAUAUUUCUGGAGUGCCAUUAUUUUGCCCUGGCUCAGACUCCUCAAAGGCUGGUAUGUCUUCCUCUGAGCUUUCACCUUCCUGCUCUAAUGGCUGGCCUUGCUCCACCUCAUCUCCUGACAGCUGUAAGUCUGACUCUCCUUUCACAGUUCUGAGUAAAUUUCCUUUUCUCCUCGUCCUGCCCUUUGCUUCCUGAAAUAUUAAAAUAAGUUCAGGAUGUGAGGCAGUAAGACCUGCUGUCCACUACAAAGGGCACUGGAUAACACUUUUGUUCCGGAAGGGUUAAAAUUGCUAUACACUUCUAAAAUCACACUAAAUCAAAGACGCUCAAAUAGAAGAAACAAACAAAAAAAAUCACUUUGUCUCCUUUGUGGCCAUAAAAUGUGGAAGCUGCAAUUCUUGUACAAGAAAAUCCAUGUGCUUUGUUAGACCAGCUCCCACAAACAUAGCAUUGAUAAGAUCAGAAUGUGAUAUAGAUUGUAUGUGCCUCAGAAGUUGUACUGUGAUUUAUCAUGAGUUGUGCACUUUGUUUUGGCUUAUGUUUUGGAAAAUAGUGAAUCAUCAACAAUGCAGAAGUAAGCUAGUUGCAUUGCAGAAAGAAUCAUUGCUUUCAUGUCAUCGUAUUCAUCACACAAUGAGAGACAGCAGGGGUUUCUCACUGUCCUUUAAACAUGCACAUGACUCGAUACUGCUGACUCCUAAAAAAAAAAACAAUUGCUCAUCGGCUUUCCCCAUCUUAUCAAAAGAAAAAAAAAAACAUAACAAUCUCUUGUUCCUUUUUUGCUCCUCAUAAUUUCAUUUAACUAAAAUGUAUCCAUGUAACAAGUCUGGGCAUGUUGUUUACAGCUCUGUUACUUGACCAUUCCCAGUCAUAAACACCGCAUGCAUCAUUUUUUCUGAGUGAUUGAGUUUGAUGACGCAUACCUGAACCAAAGCCCAUCCUGUUUUUGCUGCCAUGAAACUUUCCCCUGUCAAAGUACAAACGGAGAAAGUGAAACCACAUUUACUGACCACAAGCAGAAUUUAGUUGCAGGUGGGAAUUUUUAAAAAGCGCAAAUAGUAAACAGCUCAUCACAACAUUUUUAGAGUUCCACUGCUAAAUUUUGCAGUGACAUUCUGUUAUAAGAUCAGACUUAAGAUAAGUUGUUGAUAAGUCAACAAUAUGUGGUUGAAUUAUGUUGCAACAGUUCUUUCUUUUAUAUUCAGUUUACUAUUUUUAUCUCUGGUUAUGAUGCUUGCGUCAGUUCCAAACAAAUAUUUUUAAGGAUAAACUGUAACAGAGGCAUAUUGUCAUGUUGGUACACAUCUUUACCCUUCCAUUUUAAUAUUAGUGGAGAAAUACACAUAGAAAAAAAUCAGCAAAGUAAUGAUUUUCAGUGUUGUAAUAACCACGAAAAUAUCCUAAAAUUUUCACUUUAACAGUCUCUUCAUGAAUAAGGAAGUGAAGAACACAUUUCAACAUAUAUUUAUGUCAAAGUUUCUCUCCUUCCUUUUCUCCCAGCUGUCAGUCUUGUUCCUGUCUGUGUGACUUGUGGUGAGUAGGAGAAAAGGGCCAGUCCCUUUAGAGAUAUAGAUAUAAUCUGGCUGUGUCUCCCUUCAGUAGCAUACAGGGGAAAGUACCAUUUGGAUACUUCAGAUACUUAGGGCACACACUGAGCUCAGGAAGCGAAGUAACACAUCAGUGCACAGCAGAGGAAACUCAGGACUUGUACAGUCGUCGUUUCUUAACAUCUAUCUUCCUGCGUUCCCCGGGCUAAGAGCGCUCCGAACCCUGCUGUUUGACUGACGAUGCCGGAGCCUACCCAGAAUUUACUGAUCCGUAUCCUCGUGUUGUGGAACACCGUAAUCACCAUAUUCCUAAUUGUGUUCUUCGUUCUAUACUUCACAGCAGGACAUAAAGGCUUGGAAAAUAGUGCUGUAGAAUCAUCCAAAAUUUCCUCCACGGAAAAGAGAUGGACAACCACCGCCCCCUCUAGCCUCUCCUCAAUUACAGGAAAAAUGCUCAGCUUUAAGUUUGCGGAAGGUGGAAGUGAUAUAACAUGGAGUCCAAUUCGUUCAGAUAAAACCCUGAUUUCAAAAGUCAACAAUGGCCUGAGCCUGAACAUGGAUGGAUACUAUUUCCUAAAUCUUCAGGUUGCAGCUGGUCCAGACUGUUCCAUAACAGAUCAAUCCAGUGUGAGCCUGGUGUACAUACCGAAGGACAAAGACCCCAAAAUUCUUCUAAAGGGCUCAAUUAACAAAGAAACAAACACCACAGGUAUUCUCAGCAAGGUAGUGGAGUGCGGUGCUGGAGAGAGGCUGAUAUUCAACAUUAGUGAGCCAUUACUCAGUUGUGUUGAUAAAAAUGAUAGUAAAACUCACCUGGAUAUCAUCUUCAUGCCACGGCUUUAGAUGUAAGUUCAUUAUUUUUAGCAUAGUGCACGACACCUUUCCAGCUUUGGAACCCACACUGAAGCAAACCUAGUCUGAAUCUUGUUGGGUGUAUUUGUUCACUUUGGAUGGAUCACACUUUGAUUUUGGCCAGUUGAUCUCCAGAUCAGCAAUUUACCUAAUAAUUUUUGUAAAAGAUGCAUAAAAAAGGGGAAUUCAAUAAGAGGUUGGAUGAAAACCUCGUCUCUUUUUACAUUCCGGUCUAGAGCUCGCCUUAAACAGGGUUUAUAAUGAUCCAAUGAUGUUCAGUUUUGUAAAGUAGAUAUAGCAGACCGGGUAUUGGUCUCAGGUUGUAUCAUCACUACAAAAUCACACUUGAAAACAGCGCAAUGUAUGUAAUGUAUUGUGUAUUUAAUGGAUUAGAACCAAAGCUGGAUUGUUUUCAUUGUUCUCAAAUAGCUGUUUUAAACAGAAACUUUGAAGCGGGUUGUUCAGAAUUGACAGAUCUCACUUGUUGAAACGAUAUUUCUUUGUUAGAGCUUUGCAUGUUUAAAAUAUCUAGUAGUUGAUUUCAAGAAUUUAUUGUGCUGAAGUGUCACAUUUUUCAGCAGGAGAUUGCUUUUGAUGUUUGCACAGAUUAUACUUUCUAAUUUCUGAUUCAUUUCUUGUUUUGUUAACAUUGUAUGAAUUCUGUAUUUAAGUUUAUUUAUUUAUUUCUCGCAACAAAAACCAUGUGCAGCAUAUGAUUUAGACACAUAAUGGAUGUAACAAAAAAACCCCAUGGCAGGUCAGCUAAUAAUCUAUGAAUGUUUAUUUUCUCAGUGAUAAUGUUUCACAGGGUGUACCAGUCACAAACUGGUAGUGAGUCACUGGAAUCUAUGUAGAGAAUUGACUUUGUUUGUUAAAAGAAUGUAAUUCAUAUUUGGAAAGAACAAAGGUGUAGUUUUGAUUUACUUGACCAAUAACAUACUUUAGUAUUUCAUCUCUUUAGUCUAAAGUUAAGUGUGAAAUGACUUGAUAAGCUCCAGACAUCCUUGACUACAUGUACUAUACAUUGUGACACGUGAAAACACAAGUCGCAGUGGUUGUUGCGGUAAGUUUCAUGUGUUUGAGAUUUGAAAGAAAUACUGGGUUUUUUCACUUUUUGUAUUUUUUUUGAUGUUUUAGUGGAAGAGGAAGCUGCUUAUGCAUUUGAAAAGAUUUCUGUGAGACCUGCUAAAUGUGUGUGUUUAAAUUUGACUUUAACCAUUGUUAUGAAAAAAAUAAGAGAACGUCUUAGUUAAAAAUGUUUACUGUCUUUAUUGUAUUUGAUGUGACUGUAAAACAAAAACAAACUCAAUAUGAAUCAAAGGACACGAUAACAGUGAUUAAGGGCUUUUGGGUUUGAGUCAUUUAUGAGACCCUACAUAUGAAAGUGAGAGGUCAUGAGUUAACAUUGGAUUACCACAUAAUCACUAAUAGAAAGAUACAGCGGGACCCUCCCUGUCUAUAUGCUGUCGAAGAAUAUGUCCUCUUGACUCUUGACAAAGCAAACAGAAGAAAUGCUUCUCAUACAAAGCAUUCAAAGUCACAUCCAGUGACCUAAAUCGCAGUGACAGAGAUACAGUAAAGCAGCAAAAAAGGUCACUGGAACAUUAGUCAUCACAGUCAAGAGGCACAUUUUCCAGCUUUCAUUUGAAAACUUUUGUUUUCCAAACCUCAGCCACAAACGAGUCCCAUAUCUCUCAGUGCUCUGUCAAUUAGUUGUUGCUACCACAGCUUUCGAUUGCAGUGAAGAGGUCCAGGAUGUAAAAAUUGAUAGCAGACAUAGCAAACUACCACCCACUCUGUCUCUUUUAUUAGAGGCCUUAGAUGCAUUUGCAUGGGUUGAUUUUGGUUGCUCCCUUCCUACUGCUUUCCACUGCCCAAUGUCAAGAUAAUAAAUGGUGUAUCCACACAGAGAAAGUGUAUAACCUCUACACAUCAUUUUUGCCCAGACAUCAUGGAGAGAACGUCGACAUUAUAAACAUGUUUACAGCAUGCACUUUUUGAAUAACAAUCUUCCAGUUUCUUCUUGUAACCCUUAUCAAUAUGCCACCUCUUACAAUAAAAGAUUUGUCAGACUAGAAAAUGUCUGAAAUGAGUAAGCUUCUAAAUCCAGUCACAGCGGGUUUUUUUAAUCUUGAAUCAAAAUGAUAGUGAUGUCAAAUCUUUAAAAGUUCAAAUAUUUCUCACUCACAUAUUUUUCCUCCAGCCUGUAGUGUUAAAUAGCCAUGUAGAGUAUUGUGUGUGGGUUACCCAGUUUUGGAUAUAUACACUACUGUGCUACAAGAGUGCUAUGCGCAGACACAAAUUUCUGAUAUUUAGCAAAAGACUAAAACAAUACAAGAAUUUUUCUUGUUAAAAUUCAAGUACAGAUCUCUUGGAUGGUUACCGCCGCACAACAGGCAUCAUUAUUUAACAGCUAAUCCAAUUAAAAUUCUACUAAAGACAACAAUAACACAAAUACAGUGGAAAGGUCACGUUUAAUAGCAGAGGUGAAGCCUAACCCACACACACAGGUCAGUUACAGCUGUCUGUGUCCAACAGCUGAGCAGCUCCUGUAUCCACCAUAAAGCUGUUAUUAAUUAACACUAUCCACACAGUUCUAGACCAUUUUUGAAUCAAGCUGUAAAUAUGGUGUUUUAAAGCUGCAAAGUUGGGUAUUUUUGAUCUGAUCAACUGCAGAUUUUUGAUCUGAUCAUCUGCAGAGGAAUGGUUUAUUUAAAGAGUUUCGUGAGGUUUCAGAACUCAUCAUUGUACAGAAACAGCAUAAUUGAAGGUUAUGAAUGAAUCAUAUCUAUCUGAUGGAUUCCAAUUGGAAAGAACAUGAUUUGUUUGCAUAAAGGGACAGUCCUCUUCACACACACUUCAUACACUAAGGUUAAUUAUGGAGUUCCGCAGGGUUCCAUGCUAGGAUCAGUUCUGUUGACUUUAUACAGCCACUAUCAUUAAAAAGCAAAGGGUACAUUUUCACUGCUAUCCAGAUGACACCCAACUUUAUCUGCCCGUGAAGCCAGAUAACACUCACCAAUUAGUUAAUUGCAAGAACAACUUAAAGACAAAAAGACCUGGAUGAUCUCUUAUUUCCUGCUUCUAAAUUACGGCAACUGGUGUCUAACUGGAUACUUAGAAUGGCAUUACCUUGGCCUCCAGUAAAACUGGGAGAAAUUUUAGAGUCAUUUUACAUCCUUCAGUGUGUAUAUUGAGCUAAUAUGUAGGACUGUUUUCUUGCAUUUGUGCAAUAUCUUUACAAUUAGAAACAUCUAAUUUUAGAGUGAUGUUAAAAAACUAGUUCAUGCAUUUAUUACUUCUUGGCUGAACUACUGUAAUUUGAUAGGACGGGGCUCUCCUAAAAUCUCCCUGAAAAGCCUUCAGUUGAUCCAAAAUGCUGCAGUAAAAGUACUGACAGGGACUACAAAGAGAGAGCAUGUUUCUCCAUUAUUGGCUUUUCUUCAUUCAUUCUCCUCAUAUACCAGUUCUAGAAUAAUCAGGCCCUGUCUUACCUUAAAGACCUCAUAGUACCAUAUCACUCCAAUUGAGCACUUCAGUCUCAGACUGUUGGCUGACUUGUGGUUGCUAGGAUAUUUAAAAGAAGAAUGGGAGGAAGAGCUUACAACUUUCAGGCCUCUCUUCUGUGAAACCAGCUCCCACAUUGAAUUUUAGCAACAUUUUAAGACUAUUUUCAAGACUGAGGUUAAAACUUUCCUUUUUGAUAAAACCUAUAGUUAGGGCUGGAUCAGGUGAUCCUGGGUUCGUCCUCAAUUAUGUUGCAAUAGGCCUAGGUUCCUGGGUCAUUCUCAUGAUGCAGUGUUACUUCAGCUCUUUUGUCCUGUCUCCCUGCCCCAACCUCCAGUCCCUGACCCUCCAUGAGCCUGGUUCUGCCUGAGGUUUCUUCCUGUUAAAAGGGAGUUUGUCAUUCUCACUGUUGCCAGGUGCUCAAAGCUGGUCCUUUGAUUGUUGGUUUAUUUGAAGAGUUUUAGUCAGGCUUCAGAACUCUGUACAGACACAG
Haplochromis burtoni (Burton's mouthbrooder) is the source of this 7799-nucleotide long non-coding RNA. RefSeq lists it as uncharacterized. The record is from RefSeq and is a predicted model, not a curated record. The transcript is spliced from 4 exons. Lineage: Eukaryota; Metazoa; Chordata; Actinopteri; Cichliformes; Cichlidae.